CUGACCGGAGAGGAUUAUGGACCUUUGAAGAUGUCCACUGAUCAUGUGACCACCAGCACUCAUCCACGUCUGUCCAGGAAAUUUAGUCGUGCCCAGAGCCCCAUUCCAGAGCCUCCACUGACACCAAAGAAAAACAAGGUAAAGAAGAUGGUAGAAGUCACCCAGAAGAUGAUGGAGCUGCUGACAGGAGAGGUUCCUAUAAGGUGUCAGGAUGUCACUGUCUAUUUCUCCA
Rana temporaria (common frog) is the source of this 232-nucleotide long non-coding RNA. RefSeq lists it as uncharacterized. The record is from RefSeq and is a predicted model, not a curated record. The transcript has 3 exons. Lineage: Eukaryota; Metazoa; Chordata; Amphibia; Anura; Ranidae.